RNAcentral lists this small RNA (167 nucleotides) under Kyrpidia tusciae. Its description in RNAcentral is "c-di-AMP sequence". It matches the Rfam family "c-di-AMP riboswitch aptamer (ydaO/yuaA leader)". Rfam says of the family: This family represents a conserved RNA structure found upstream of the ydaO and yuaA genes in Bacillus subtilis and related genes in other bacteria. Lineage: Bacteria; Bacillati; Bacillota; Bacilli; Caryophanales; Alicyclobacillaceae. RNAcentral also lists the same sequence under 1 other name. The record is from RNAcentral.
AAAACGGAGACGCUGAGUUCCAUGUCCAGUGGAAGCGGAGGACCCAUGUGUGGGGUGAAUCCGGGCGGGCUGUUCUCAGAAGAUUUGAGAAUGUUUCAUCCGCUCGGUAGGGUGAGCUCUCCACCCGAACCCGUCAGCUAACUUCGCAAGCGUUGGAGGGAGCGGUG